GACGAACGCUGGCGGCGUGCUUAACACAUGCAAGUCGAGCGAUGAAGCUCCUUCGGGAGUGGAUUAGCGGCGGACGGGUGAGUAACACGUGGGUAACCUGCCUCAUAGAGGGGAAUAGCCUUUCGAAAGGAAGAUUAAUACCGCAUAAGAUUGUAGCCUCGCAUGAAGCAGCAAUUAAAGGAGUAAUCCGCUAUGAGAUGGACCCGCGUCGCAUUAGCUAGUUGGUGAGGUAACGGCCCACCAAGGCGACGAUGCGUAGCCGACCUGAGAGGGUGAUCGGCCACAUUGGGACUGAGACACGGCCCAGACUCCUACGGGAGGCAGCAGUGGGGAAUAUUGCACAAUGGGGGAAACCCUGAUGCAGCAACGCCGCGUGAGUGAUGACGGUCUUCGGAUUGUAAAACUCUGUCUUCAGGGACGAUAAUGACGGUACCUGAGGAGGAAGCCACGGCUAACUACGUGCCAGCAGCCGCGGUAA
RNAcentral lists this ribosomal RNA (478 nucleotides) under uncultured bacterium. RNAcentral's name for it is "partial 16S ribosomal RNA". It matches the Rfam family "Bacterial small subunit ribosomal RNA", at positions 28 to 523 of the family's 1533-position model. The record is from RNAcentral.